This is a long non-coding RNA of Anas platyrhynchos (mallard), 938 nucleotides long. RefSeq lists it as uncharacterized. The record is from RefSeq and is a predicted model, not a curated record. Lineage: Eukaryota; Metazoa; Chordata; Aves; Anseriformes; Anatidae.
UACCGCUGCGAGCCAGGGUUUUCAGAGGGAACUGAAAGGAGAGAAACACCCACUAGAUUCUGCUUCAGAUCAUCUGCGAAGCUCAGCUGCUUCCUUUCAGCCUCUUCUCUUUGUGUUUUGCAGUUGCUCGUCGUGGUAUUUCUCCCUGGGAGCUCACGGGAGGCCAGGCUCAUCGCCAGAUACACCUUGCAGCUUACUCCACCUCCAGAUGGGAUCUCUGGUUGCAGUGCUGCGUGUCAGCCAGGAUUAUCCUGUGGGGCUGAUCACAUCUGCCACCCACACACGCUUCCUGUGGAAACUAUGGGCAGGCAGGGAGGCAGAGACCCGGCUGUAACACGGGGAGCAGGAGGCUGGGGUGUGGGGACAGCAGCUCCGAAGCAAAGUGCUGGAUUCCUCUGUAGUCACCUGAGAAAAAUCAGCACUUCCAGAACCUGAUUCGUCUUGUCCUCGUGCAGAUACCUCCAGGAGAUCAGGAACCCAGAUAAUGCCCAAGACCAGCCUGGGAGGAGGCUGACCCCAGCGCUACAGGGCCCCACGUUGGCAGAGCGUGUGACACUGGGCCCCAUCUUGAAGCCACGCAUGUGCCACAGUUUCUUUCCUCCUUUUUAGCACAAACUGCCCUUGAUUAGUCACCGACCUGGUUUAGACGCUGCACUGCUACCACGCAAGCUGCGGGUGGAUGCCUCUGCAGAAGCAACGGGAGCAGAAGGCAGAAGCUCCUGAGUCCUGACUGCAGCUGUGAAACAGGCUUGGUGUUGAUCAUCAGGUUCCUUGCCUCAGUUUCCCCACUUGUCGUUUGAACGAUGCCUGUGUUGCAAUCAUGCUGCAAGGCGUAGCCGAUAUCUGCGCAGCGGUGCUUUGGAGGUGCCACGCAUCAGAUCAUCCCAGGAGAUAGCAGUAUCAGCCGUGUAUCAAUUGUAUCUACGCAGGGAACAAAA